UACGUAUGCAGCGAGCGUUGUUCGGAAUUACUGGGCGUAAAGAGUGCGUAGGCGGUGCUCUAAGUCUGUCGUGAAAUCUCCCGGCUCAACUGGGAGGGUGCGGCGGAAACUGGAGUGAUAGAGUGUGGGAGAGGUAAGCGGAAUUCCUGGUGGAGCGGUGAAAUGCGUAGAUAUCAGGAGGAACACCUGCGGUGUAGACAGCUUACUGGACCACGACUGGCGCUGAGGCACGAAAGCGUGGGUAGCAAACAGG
This 253-nucleotide ribosomal RNA is filed under the name uncultured bacterium. RNAcentral's name for it is "partial 16S ribosomal RNA". It matches the Rfam family "Bacterial small subunit ribosomal RNA", at positions 524 to 776 of the family's 1533-position model. The record is from RNAcentral.